Long non-coding RNA from Heterocephalus glaber (naked mole-rat), 806 nucleotides. The record is from Ensembl. Lineage: Eukaryota; Metazoa; Chordata; Mammalia; Rodentia; Bathyergidae.
AUCGGUAGCCAGGUGUGGUGGCACAUGCCUGUAAUCCCAGCACUCAGGAGAUUGAGGCAGGAAGAUCACCAGGAGUUCCAGGUCAGCCCGGGCUAUAUAGGGCAGCUGAUACACAAGUAUCUGAAGAAUGAAGAUGGAAUAUUUUAAUGGCAGCCCAUUCAGUGAAUGUGGAAUUCAGGCCACGAUGUCCUGUUAACAACUAACAACUCUGGUUCCUAGAGUUAUCAAAAUGUUCUCUCCUUUGUUAGCAUCUAAAAUAAUUAUACCAGCAAUAUGGUCUACAUUCUGGAGACCGCAUCUACCAACUGCUAGACAACUACUUUCUCUAAUUAAGUUCAUCGCAUACUCUAUAGUUUACAGAAAUAAGUCUCUCACUUUUAAAAAAAGGCUCCAGCAUCUCACCAGAUAUAUUUCCAGUAGGAUUUACCAUCAAUGAAAAACACCUCAUAUUUCAUCAUCCUUUAAAACAAGUCGUUUUUGCAUUCAUAGGGAAGAGCUUGGCAUGAGAGUACAACAACCUGGCUUCUUUUCACUCUAGAGCUGCAGAGGUGUGCCCAUUUGACAAAUGCCCGUGAUGCCUUUAAAGAGAAUAUUUACCAAAACUCAUUGCCCCCUAAAGAACUCUCUCUCUGCUUUACUGGUUCAGCCACCAGAAAUACCUUCAAAGAAUUUGGAAAGAGACAGUAUAGAGUUUGAGAGCAUGGAACCUAGUUUCCUCUCUUACUAGGGAUCAAACUCAGUACCUUGUGCUUGCCAGGGAGGCGCUGUGCUGUUGAGCUACAUCUCCAGCCCUAAAUGUGAUAAAG